UUUGAUGAAGACAGGAUGAAUGAAUUCAUACCAUCAGAUUCUGAUGAAACCUCAAUGAGUUUAAGUUCAGAUGAUUAUCCUAAGGAAAAAAAGUUCAAAGGGAAAAAAAGAACUAGUUCAGGUGGACAUGAUAAUGUAGAAGUAAUUAAAGUAUGGAAUUCAAAUCUGGAGGUGGUGGUGAAGGGCAGAAGGAUGAGCUGGCCAGCAUUUCAUCUAUGACCGUAAAAAAAGAAAAAAAGUGAGUCUAAUGUAGAAGUAAACUUUUGUAUUUAUGUAAGGAUCAAAAAAUGUUGGUAAUAUGAUGUCAGCUAUUUACUUAGGGUUAGGUGAAUUUCUUGGCAGGAGAAGCAGUGGGUUUAUUAUUGACAAAAUUUAAAGUCACGUUACAGUUUAAAUUAAGAUUUCAUCAUUUCAGAACCUACUAAGUCCGUAGUUUAGAUCAUUGAGAUUGAUAGGGUAUACAUUGACCUUUAAUUUUAAAAACAGAUUUGUUUUCUAUGUAAGUUGUGUAAAGAUUUCAUUAAAGAUUUUUUAAAUGUUAA
This is a long non-coding RNA of Phascolarctos cinereus (koala), 542 nucleotides long. RefSeq lists it as uncharacterized. Lineage: Eukaryota; Metazoa; Chordata; Mammalia; Diprotodontia; Phascolarctidae. The record is from RefSeq and is a predicted model, not a curated record.